RNAcentral lists this ribosomal RNA (367 nucleotides) under uncultured bacterium. RNAcentral describes it as "bacterial SSU rRNA". It matches the Rfam family "Bacterial small subunit ribosomal RNA", at positions 959 to 1329 of the family's 1533-position model. The record is from RNAcentral.
ACGCGAAGAACCUUACCUGGGUUUGACAUACACGGGAAGCCUGCAGAGAUGUGGGUCUCUUUGAUACUCGUGUACAGGUGGUGCAUGGCUGUCGUCAGCUCGUGUCGUGAGGUGUUGGGUUAAGUCCCGCAACGAGCGCAACCCUCGUUCCAUGUUGCCAGCAAGUAGUGUUGGGGACUCAUGGGAGACUGCCGGGGUCAACUCGGAGGAAGGUGGGGAUGACGUCAAGUCACCAUGCCCCUUAUGUCCAGGGCUUCACGCAUGCUACAAUGGCCGGUACAAAGGGCUGCGAUCCUGUGAGGGUGAGCGAAUCCCAAAGCCGGUCUCAGUUCGGAUUGGGGUCUGCAACUCGACCCCAUGAAGUCGG